This 775-nucleotide ribosomal RNA is filed under the name uncultured Neocallimastigales. RNAcentral describes it as "partial large subunit ribosomal RNA". It matches the Rfam family "Eukaryotic large subunit ribosomal RNA", at positions 24 to 646 of the family's 3401-position model. Lineage: Eukaryota; Fungi; Neocallimastigomycota; Neocallimastigomycetes; Neocallimastigales. The record is from RNAcentral.
GUAGUCUCGCACAGAUGCAUAUCAAUAAGCGGAGGAAAAGAAACUAACAAGGAUUCCCCUAGUAACGGCGAGUGAAGCGGGAAGAGCUCAAAUUUGAAAUCUUAAAGGGUUUCCCUUUACGAAUUGUAGUUUAAAGAAGUGUUUUCUGUUGAGGUUUUGGUAAAAGUUCUUUGGAAUAGGACAUCAUAGAGGGUGAGAAUCCCGUAUUUGACCUUUACUUUCAACUUUGUGAUACACUUUCAAAGAGUCGGAUUGUUUGGGAAUGCAGUCCAAAAUGGGUGGUAAAUUUCAUCUAAAGCUAAAUAUUGGCGAGAGACCGAUAGCGAACAAGUACCGUGAGGGAAAGAUGAAAAGAACUUUGAAAAGAGAGUUAAACAGUACGUGAAAUUGUCAAAAGGGAAGCGUUUGACACCAGUGUUGUUUUUCUGAAAAUCAAUUAAAGAACUGUUUAUGCUAAGUUGUUUAGACUUUAUCAGCUAACUGUUUAGUUUUGAGCUUUUCUUUAAUGCACUUUUCAGUUAACAAGUCAACAUCAAUUUCUUUUGCUGUAAAAAAGCUUGAGGAAGGUGGCUUGAGAUUCGUCUUAAGUGUUUAUAGCCUCUUGCCUAUGCAGUCGGAGAGGAUUGAGGUCUGCAGCGUAGAUCCUUCGGGGCUAAAUGCAUUUGUGCUAAGUUAUAGCAUUUUAUAGACAACUUGUUGACUAUGAUUUGUCUUGUAGCUUACUCGCUUAUGUUAUUUUACCUACGCUUAGGAUGUUGAUCUGUAGUGCGUGCGC